CAGCAGCCGCGGUAAUACGGAGGGAGCUAGCGUUGUUCGGAAUUACUGGGCGUAAAGCGCACGUAGGCGGUUAUUCAAGUCAGAGGUGAAAGCCCGGGGCUCAACCCCGGAACUGCCUUUGAAACUAGAUGACUAGAAUCUUGGAGAGGUCAGUGGAAUUCCGAGUGUAGAGGUGAAAUUCGUAGAUAUUCGGAAGAACACCAGUGGCGAAGGCGACUGACUGGACAAGUAUUGACGCUGAGGUGCGAAAGCGUGGGGAGCAAACAGGAUUAGAUACCCCAGUAGUCCCUGUCUCUUAUAC
Molecule: ribosomal RNA, 301 nt
Filed under: uncultured bacterium
Lineage: Bacteria
Description: partial 16S ribosomal RNA
Rfam family: Bacterial small subunit ribosomal RNA
Source: RNAcentral